RNAcentral lists this long non-coding RNA (2071 nucleotides) under Helianthus annuus (common sunflower). RNAcentral describes it as "hypothetical non coding rna". The record is from RNAcentral. Lineage: Eukaryota; Viridiplantae; Streptophyta; Magnoliopsida; Asterales; Asteraceae.
ACCCGAAUAGUUGUUGUUGCUCUAUAAGCCAUCAUCACUCUAAGUGAAGUGUCACCACAAAUUCUCUAACCAAAAGCAAGCAUUCUCAACCAAAAUUAUAUCUAAAUGCUCUCAAAAUCAUCAAGUGGAAGUAAGGAUCAUCAUCAAUUCUUUGGAUUUUCUUCUCAUCUUGUAAUUUCUUCAUAGUGGGUAUACUCAAAAUCUAUGUCUUUUAUUUCUCUUAUUUAUUUUUCUUUCUUUUUUUUUUCUAGAAUUCUAUAAACCUCUAUUAAUCCAUAUGAUAAAGGUUUAUAUCUCAUAUACAAUUUUGCUUUAUAAUUUUAGUAUAGAAUUUGGGGCUUAGAUGUAAGAUUGCGUUUUGAUCAAAAUUUACGUUAGUUGAUAAUAAUUGUCGUCACAUUCGUUUCAUUUUUGUUAAUUUGAUAAUUCUAGAUGUCACAUAUAUUUCUUCAUAAAUUGUUGCCAUCAUCAUAUUCUUUUAAGAGUUAUAUCAUAGUUGGGUUACUUUUGGAAAAUAAAAUAUAUGAAAUUGUUUUCUCUAAAUUUUAUGAUCUACCUAGAUGAAAUUUAUGAUGGAUUUUGUAGUCUAUAGAGUGAUCAUAGAUGAACUUUUUGUUAAAUUAUAAACAAAGCACUUUUUUGAAAAGUAAGAAAUUGCAUAUAUUGAAAUUAACUUUCUUUUAAAAAAGGACAUAUGACGUAAUAAAGAAAACUAUUUUUUUUCCUUUGUUUUAAUAAUUUAAGUUCAAAUAAUAAAUUUAUACAUACAGGUAACAUCUUUGAAAUUAAGUCAUAUCUAUAUGUUACAAAAUUAUAUUUAAUAUAUUUUAAUGAUUAAGAUAUUAAUGUAACUAUAUUAUAGUUUUUGGUUUUAUGUCACAUAAACAAAUAUAGUUAUGAGUAUUAAAGUUCAAAUGGUUAAAAAAAUUAGUUUUGAUAAUUUAUAUUUCUAAUAGGCAAAAACCCCAAAGUAUUAGGUUGUAUUGUUUUGUAUAUAUUUAUAUUGUAGUGUUGUUUUAUUUAGUAUUUUGGUCUUAUAUAUUUUAGGGUGACUUUGCUUUUUGAAUUCAUUUUCUUUCUCGAACACUCGUGCGGUUUUGCUAAGGAUUUAACAGAAAGCAAACAGUGAGUAAACUCUCUCCCCUUUUGUCAUUAACUUUUUGGGGUGUAUCAAUGUGUCCCGUUCAAUUGUUUUUAUCUAAAAUCUAGCAUGCAAAGUGUUGUGUGUCGUAUAUGCAUUACUUGUUGUUGUUGAAUGUUUGUUGAGUCAAUAGUCAUUCAUUUAGUGGAUCCACGGCUGACCUUUCCUCAUGACCUGGAGAUGUCGGUAUCACCCCACUAGUCUUGGGCUGACCUUUCCUCCUAACUAUGGAUAAUAUUUCCGUUCAUACCAGACUAGAAGCCCCUAGUAAAUUGUGCGUAAACUAAGUUGUUUUGAAUACGGUUGUACUAUAUAUAUAAUUAUCAUAAAAGACUAACACAUGUAGAUACUUCUAGUCUAUUUUAUUUUAUAAAUACUCCGUUUUGCUUGAUUAAUUAAACACUUGGGGGUUAAUACGACCGUGUCCGGGCGUCCCUACUUAUUUAAUUGCAAAUGAUCACGACUCAAAGCGCGGGGUGUAGGCAUACAUCUGACAUAAGCAAAAUAAAUGAUAUAUACACAUAUUAUAAAAUGUGGCGUGUCAAUCAAUCAUGUUCGGACAUUUGAUUAUCGGUCCCCGACUGUAUUGACAAGCAUGUAAAACUGAUAACAAGAGAUAGAGUUUGUCCCAAGUUAUUUAAAAAUGAAAUACCAAAUGGUAUUAAAUAAAUUUUGAAAAUAUUUUCAAAAGAGUCGGUAUUAGUAUUUACCAAUAAAAACUGACGUAUUUUCAAAAGAUUAAGCGCAGGUUAAGAGCAAAUACGGAAUAGGUUGGACAAGGCUUGGUCUUAGGAUUGGAAUUUGCAAUUCCACAAUAAAAGACCCACAUAGUCUCAAGUAUCUUUUAUUUCGAUUCCGCCUGUGGAUAUUUUGUACGAACAACUUGUAUAACUUUUAUUUAGUAUAUUCAAGCUUUUGUGUUUAUUACUU